AGGGGUGUCGAAGGACUCAUUCAAUAUUUGAAUCAUCUCCUCAGGCUGCGUAUCCUCAAACUUAUGACUAAGUUUAUCGUUCAUAGCUGCCCUCAUCAUGCAACGCACAGUCGUGCGGUCAUUGAGUCACUUCAUGUAACUCUCUUACAGCACGAGGAGAAUUGACUAUAGGUUCUUCAGGUGCCUAAUCCGUAAGGACAUAUAAAAUCCUUUCGUGCUCCAAC
RNAcentral lists this long non-coding RNA (224 nucleotides) under Elaeis guineensis (African oil palm). Its description in RNAcentral is "long non-coding RNA (EGUI_LNC075323)". The record is from RNAcentral. Lineage: Eukaryota; Viridiplantae; Streptophyta; Magnoliopsida; Arecales; Arecaceae.